AAUUAUUUAGUUUAAAAAAAACAGAUGUUUUGAAAACAUCAAACAAGAAAAAUUUCUUAAUAAUUA
Molecule: transfer RNA, 66 nt
Filed under: Homologenus malayensis
Lineage: Eukaryota; Metazoa; Arthropoda; Malacostraca; Decapoda; Homolidae
Description: tRNA-Ser
Source: RNAcentral